ACUGCAGUAGUGAAAAUGAAGCGCACGAUGGGCGGAAGCUAGGAAGACAAACAUAAAGAUGAAGUGCUUAAUUCAAGGUCACACAAUGUCGGGGAUGGACCUCCAGAUUUCCUUACUGACCUGCAUUAUCUUGUGGAUACCUGAGUGAAUUCCACACCACCCAUUUUAUAGAUGAAACCACUGAGACAUGGAGCAAUUGACUGAGUAGUCACUGCCCCACCCCUGCCUGGAGCCUCACACAUGACUCGCCUCCUCUCAGUGACCACAGGUGAGACGUGGUCUUGUAACACAGUGGUUAAGAAUGUGACUUUGGAGCCAGCCUGCUAGGGGCUGAAUUCUGACUCAGCCAUUUACUAACUGUGUGACCUUAGUUCCCUGAGCACAUGCUGUUGAGUAAUCCUGCCUGGACCAGUACUUCCCUCACCCUAGACUUCACCUUCAGUUCCCCUUUAUACCACCUGCUGAAGCUGCCAGCCAGCCUUUUCGACCACCCUCCCUCCCCCAGGGGUGUUUGGCUUCUCAGACCCCAGCCUGAGCUAGUGCCCUUGGCUUCCUAGGGUCUUGCCAGGAAAGCAAAGGAGAACAUGCAUACCGCCAAAGAGUACCUAAUAAUAAGAACUCCCAUCCUGAAUUGUGAUUUAUAGUCAGCAUAGCACAUGUGUCAGGUGAUUAUACUUAGGCUGAUUUUAGCCUUAAUAAUCUGCUUCUGUGAUCCUGUAUGUGGGAAGCCUAGAAAUUUCUCUGUGAUCCUCCUUCCUGGAUCACUAAGAGACAAGUCAAGACAUAGGUCCAUUCUACCACCUGUGUUAAUCUGGGCCUUGUUGAGACCAUUUAAAGAAAGGCGUGAUGCUAGAAGUAAGGUCCAGGCCUCCUGCACACUGUUUCAAGGCUGUGACCAUAGUCAGAUCCUGUUGCUUGAGUCCAAAGAGUUUAAAAUAGUGUUGGAAACCUCCUAGGGAAAAAACAAAAAACAAAACACCACAUCUUCCUGGGUAAGGAAGUGACAUGUGCUGACUAGAGCAGGAGGGGUAGCCAAGGCUCCAAGUUCUAUUCUGGACCUGUUGUUGAUUUGAGGUGUGACAUUCAGCAAUCUGAGCUGAUGUUCUGUAGCUCUGAUUGGUUUCUCAUCUUCUGCAGAGAGAGUGAAAGAGGCUGUGCUUGCAGGGGAAAAGGUGAACACUGGUCUCCUGUCCUUUAGGAGAGCUUCACCAUUACACGUCCUGCCUCUCAUUUGAAUUUCCAGGCUUUUUUAGAGUCUCGCUCUAUUGCCCAGAUUGGAGUGCAGUGGUGUGAUCUCGGCUCACUGCAACCUCUGCCUCUGGGUUUAAGCGAUUCUCUCACCUCAGCCUCCCAAGUAGCUGGAAUUAUAGGUGCGUGCCACCAUGCCUGGCUAAUUUUUGUGUUUUUAGUAGAGACAGGGUUUCACCAUGUUGGCCAGGCUAGUCUCGAACUCCUGACCUCAAGUGAUCCACCCACCUCGGCCUCCCAACCAGGCUUUUUUAAAUGCAGAAACCGCCCGCCCCCAGAGUUAAUAUGGAAACCCAGCAAUGUUGUUUAUGUUUUACUUGAAUUCGUUUCAUCAGAAUUGCAUUCCUUUUAACAGUGUGAUUAGAUCAGCUCUUAGAGGGGAUGGCAGCUUCAGUAGGGUUUAGGAAAGGAAAGGAAUAUUUGUGUGGGGCACACACUUUGGCUUUGAUAGCUUGAGGAUACCAGGUACAUGAUAAUUUAGAUGGAUAACAGAAACUUGUGUCCCUUGAGAGCCAGGCAUGUAUUAGAUGCUUUCAUACAUUAUUUAAUUGUAAUACAAACCAAUAAAGUAUUCCCAUUUUUUGCACAUGGGCAAGCUGAAAGUCAAAGAAGUUAUGUAACUUGCCCAAGGUCACACAGCUAAUAAAAAGGCUGAGCUAGG
RNAcentral lists this long non-coding RNA (1909 nucleotides) under Homo sapiens (human). Its description in RNAcentral is "non-protein coding PCBP1-AS1:237". Lineage: Eukaryota; Metazoa; Chordata; Mammalia; Primates; Hominidae. The record is from RNAcentral.